This 253-nucleotide ribosomal RNA is filed under the name uncultured bacterium. RNAcentral describes it as "partial 16S ribosomal RNA". It matches the Rfam family "Bacterial small subunit ribosomal RNA", at positions 524 to 776 of the family's 1533-position model. The record is from RNAcentral.
UACAGAGGUUGCGAGCGUUGUCCGGAAUCACUGGGCGUAAAGGGCGCGUAGGUGGCCCGACAAGUCUGUGGUGAAAGCUCGACGCUCAACGUCGAGUCGGCCAUAGAUACUGUUGGGCUGGAGCACUGUAGAGGCUCAUGGAAUUCCCGGUGUAGCGGUGAAAUGCGUAGAUAUCGCCUGGAACGCCGAAGGUGAAAACAGUCUGCUGGGGGUGUGCCGACGCUGAGACACGAAAGCCAGGGGAGCGAACGGG